Molecule: long non-coding RNA, 542 nt
Organism: Pezoporus flaviventris
Lineage: Eukaryota; Metazoa; Chordata; Aves; Psittaciformes; Psittacidae
Exons: 3
Source: RefSeq, a predicted model, not a curated record
AGUGUGCAGAGAGCUUCUUGCUGUUUGGUGAAGGACCACAGCCACUUCAUAAAUACAGCACAAAAGGGUGAAGGCUUCUUCAGUGGAGAAGGGUUAUUCUGUGCUUGUUGCACUUGUUGCUUGGACUCAGUAGUUUAAAGAAGGCCAGACUGGUUCAGGAGAUAGGAGGCAUUUAGCAGUGCUGCGAUGGGGCGAUAACAGAGGUUUGAAUAGAUAUAGCCUUUAUAAAAAGCUUUUAUUAUAAGGUCUACAGGUCCCUGACUGGAGGACUCAUGUGCUGUGCUGCUCUCUCCUUAAGAAGCAUGUUCAGGACUGAGCCAUCUAUUUGAAAUGUCCUCCCAGCUCUCCACCCCUGCAGGAGAUUUUAAACAAAGGUUAAAGAAGGAAAGAAACAGCAUAAGCAAAUUUCAAGGGACAAGAUUAAUCACUGCACAUCGAUUCCACCAUGACAAACAGCCCAAGGAUUUACGUGCUGCUCACCUUGUGAUGACUGCCUGAUGUACAGGUUUUAUGAAGACAAGAGUGAAGGAGUGCAGCCCCCC